UGGGGGGACGGCAGCAGCUACAGCUCCCGGUGAGUGCCGGGGAGCCGGGCAGGGCCUGGGGGCACAGGGGCACAAGGGCUUCCCCUGGCAGCCAGCGCUGCCUCUGCUCCUCCCUGCAGGGUUCCUGUCCUUGGCAAUUCCGAGUGUGUGUACCUGGCUGAUAGGAGAUUCAAGAGUGACAACUGCUCCAAUGAGCGGCCGUAUCUCUGCAGCAAGGCCCAAGCUCCCCUGUAACAGGGGCUGCACAAAGGACCUUCUCCACGCUGGGCAGUGCCAGCCAGCUUCACCUCUGAGCCCAGCACAGCGCUGUCCUUCCUCAGCUGCGCCCUGUGCCUUGCACUUCCUCUCAGGGUCACCUCAGUGCCUCUUCAUCCCCAGUGCCAGCGCUGGGCUGGGGCUGCAAAGGACAAGUCUCUGCCAUUAAUAAAGGAAGUACUUUUCACAGAGGAUGGUUGUGACCAAGUUUUUUUUGGGGCUCCUUUUUUUUGUUACUGGCUUUGACUUGUUUUUAUGCCUUAUUCUUGAUAAUUAACCUUUAUUAUCUGGUAGUGAAAAUAGAACAAACCACAUAAAUGGCAAAACCAAGUAAUUUGGGUUUUUUUUAAUUCUCUGGUUGCUGUUUCUGUCAUCUUGUCUUUUAGAUAAGACAGUCCCUGAAUCUGGGAACUCACUGGAUUAUUUUACACUCUUUUCUGAAACAAUCAUUCCAAGAUAAUACAGUCUCUAUUAUGGUAUGAUCUAAGAUAGUAUCUAUUACACCUGUUUUUAUAAAAGCUAUAGAGUGCAUACAUAAACUGACAGAUUAUACUGUAUCAAAUGCAGUAAUUACAAAUUGUACUCUAUCGGGAUUUCUGUGAUCACUUAAUCGCUUCCAAAACAAAUGUUAGUACAUAAAUGUGAAAGCCAAUACCUAUAUUUGUUUUUUUUGCAAUAUUCUACAGCAAGCUCAAUUGGGAAAUCCAAAUCACCCUGGGCUCUCUGAAAUCAUCAUAAACUGGCCUGAAGGUGAGACUUUUGGACUGUCCUUAGAACUUGUGACAAAUGACCCUCACUUUUCAAAAUUUACACAAUUAUUAAACUUUAACAAAAACAUACAACAGGAGACUGAAUAAGGAAAAUUUACAGUGCUGGUUGUUACUGUGACUGUCAGCGACAUGCUGGUUUACAAAAUGGAUGCUCUGCCUUUUAAACCCUCAGCCCCUCCCGAAGUUUUGUCAGUCAGCUCCUUUUUGAGGGAGGGAAUCAGGGAAAAAGCAAAGCCCGAGAUGGAGAGAACAGUGUCAGGAAGGUGCAUU
This 1295-nucleotide long non-coding RNA is filed under the name Zonotrichia albicollis (white-throated sparrow). Its description in RNAcentral is "lncRNA (ENSZALG00000002717.1)". Lineage: Eukaryota; Metazoa; Chordata; Aves; Passeriformes; Passerellidae. The record is from RNAcentral.